This 406-nucleotide ribosomal RNA is filed under the name uncultured bacterium. RNAcentral's name for it is "partial 16S ribosomal RNA". It matches the Rfam family "Bacterial small subunit ribosomal RNA", at positions 30 to 526 of the family's 1533-position model. The record is from RNAcentral.
AUUGAACGCUGGCGGCAGGCUUAACACAUGCAAGUCGAGCGAGAGGCGGACGGGUGAGUAAUGUCUGGGAAACUGCCUGAUGGAGGGGGAUAACUACUGGAAACGGUAGCUAAUAACGAAUACCAUCAGCUGUGCCCAGAUGGGAUUAGGUAGUAGGUGGGGUAAUGGCUCACCUAGACGACGAUCCCUAGCUGGUUUGAGAGGAUGACCAGCCACCCUGGAACUGAGAGACGGUCCAGACUCCUACGGGAGGCAGCAGUGGGGAAUAUUGCACAAGGGGCGCAAGCCUGAUGCAGCCAUGCCGCGUGUGUGAAGAAGGUCUUCGGUGUGUAAAGCACUUUCAGCGAGGAGGCGUUACUAGCAGAAGAAGCACCGGCUAACUCCGUGCCAGCAGCCGCGGUAAUUC